AAAUCUAUUUCAGAAAAUUCUUCUCGAGACAUGAUUAUAUACUCACCACAAAAUCCUCACCAAUUCUCUCGAAAAGGAAAUAAUGAUUUUCACUCGCACUCGUGUUUACACUCAAUUUUUGCCUUUUUCUUUUGAUGUAAUUCACUCGUGCCUUUUUCCACUCAAUUUUUGCCUUUCGAAGUUCUCCGCAAACUAGGUCGACGAAUCAAUACCGUUUGGCGUCGGCUUACAAAAUUGAUUUGGCUUGGUGGGUAAUGAUGUCGAAAAUGGUAGGCUAUCAAACAAAAUAGAAAUGGUUAAGUGUGGCUAUAUAGAUAUGGUCCUUCGGGCAACAAGCAAUGCUUUUACAAUCCAACUAUGAACUUU
Molecule: long non-coding RNA, 366 nt
Filed under: Gossypium raimondii (Peruvian cotton)
Lineage: Eukaryota; Viridiplantae; Streptophyta; Magnoliopsida; Malvales; Malvaceae
Description: long non-coding RNA (GRAI_LNC002769)
Source: RNAcentral